UAAGGAAUAUUGCUCAAUGGGAGAAAUCCUGAAGCAGCAACGCCGCGUGGAGGAUGAAGGGUCUAUGACUUGUAAACUCCUGUAAAGAAGGAAAAAAUUCCCAUUUGAUGGGAGAUGAUGGUACUUCUGGAGUAAGCCCCGGCUAACUACGUGCCAGCAGCCGCGGUAAUACGUAGGGGGCAAGCGUUGUCCGGAUUUACUGGGUGUAAAGGGUGCUCAGGCGGAUUUGUAAGUCAGAGGUGAAAUCUUACAGCUUAACUGUGAAACUGCCUUUGAUACUGCAAGCCUAGAGUAUGGAAGAGAGUGAUGGAAUAGCUGGUGGAGCAGUGAAAUGCGUAGAUAUCAGAUAGAACACCCAUGGCGAAGGCAGUCACUUGGUCCAUUACUGACGCUAAAGCACAAAGGCGUGGGUAGCAAACA
Molecule: ribosomal RNA, 420 nt
Filed under: uncultured bacterium
Lineage: Bacteria
Description: bacterial SSU rRNA
Rfam family: Bacterial small subunit ribosomal RNA
Source: RNAcentral